UACGGAGGGAGCUAGCGUUGUUCGGAAUUACUGGGCGUAAAGUGUGCGCAGGCGGCGCCGCAAGUCGAGUGUGAAAGCCCCGGGCUUAACUUGGGAAUUGCGCUCGAAACUAUGGUGCUGGAGUGUGGCAGAGGAAGGUGGAAUUCCACGUGUAGCGGUGAAAUGCGUAGAGAUGUGGAGGAACACCGAUGGCGAAGGCAGCCUUCUGGGCCAACACUGACGCUCAUGCACGAAAGCGUGGGGAGCAAACAGG
Molecule: ribosomal RNA, 253 nt
Filed under: uncultured bacterium
Lineage: Bacteria
Description: partial 16S ribosomal RNA
Rfam family: Bacterial small subunit ribosomal RNA
Source: RNAcentral